This 73-nucleotide transfer RNA is filed under the name Streptomyces sp. ISL-11. It matches the Rfam family "tRNA". Rfam says of the family: Transfer RNA (tRNA) molecules are approximately 80 nucleotides in length. The record is from Rfam by way of RNAcentral. RNAcentral also lists the same sequence under 1 other name. Lineage: Bacteria; Bacillati; Actinomycetota; Actinomycetes; Kitasatosporales; Streptomycetaceae.
CGGCGUGUAGCUCAGCCAGAAGAGCACCGGGCUCCGGACCCGGAGGGCGCGGGUGCAAAUCCCGCCGCGUCGG